GCGGUCGUAGCUCAGCUGGUUAGAGCGCUCCCCUGUCACGGGAGAGGUCGCCGGUUCAAAUCCGGUCGACCGCGCAA
Molecule: transfer RNA, 77 nt
Filed under: Candidatus Taylorbacteria bacterium RIFCSPHIGHO2_01_FULL_46_22b
Lineage: Bacteria; Candidatus Tayloriibacteriota
Description: tRNA-Asp
Rfam family: tRNA
About the family: Transfer RNA (tRNA) molecules are approximately 80 nucleotides in length. Their secondary structure includes four short double-helical elements and three loops (D, anti-codon, and T loops). Further hydrogen bonds mediate the characteristic L-shaped molecular structure. tRNAs have two regions of fundamental functional importance: the anti-codon, which is responsible for specific mRNA codon recognition, and the 3' end, to which the tRNAs corresponding amino acid is attached (by aminoacyl-tRNA synthetases). tRNAs cope with the degeneracy of the genetic code in two manners: having more than one tRNA (with a specific anti-codon) for a particular amino acid; and 'wobble' base-pairing, i.e. permitting non-standard base-pairing at the 3rd anti-codon position.
Source: RNAcentral